GAUGAAGAACUCAGCGAAAUGCGAUAAGUAAUGUGAAUUGCAGAAUUCAGUGAAUCAUCGAAUCUUUGAACGCACAUUGCGCCCCCUGGUAUUCCGGGGGGCAUGCCUGUUCGAGCGUCAUUUCACCACUCAAGCCUCGCUUGGUAUUGGGCAACGCGGUCCGCCGCGUGCCUCAAAUCGACCGGCUGGGUCUUCUGUCCCCUAAGCGUUGUGGAAACUAUUCGCUAAAGGGUGUUCGGGAGGCUACGCCGUAAAACAACCCCAUUUCUAAGGUUGACCUCGGAUCAGGUAGGGAUACCCGCUGAACUUAAGCAUAUCAAUAAGCGGAGGA
This 331-nucleotide unclassified non-coding RNA is filed under the name soil metagenome. Its description in RNAcentral is "partial contains 5.8S ribosomal RNA, internal transcribed spacer 2, and large subunit ribosomal RNA". The stretch from base 1 to 120 matches the Rfam family "5.8S ribosomal RNA", at positions 35 to 154 of the family's 154-position model. The record is from RNAcentral.